Regulatory RNA element from Clostridium sp. CAG:75, 178 nucleotides. It matches the Rfam family "glmS glucosamine-6-phosphate activated ribozyme aptamer". Rfam says of the family: This entry contains a glucosamine-6-phosphate activated ribozyme that is found in the mRNA for GlmS. GlmS is an enzyme that uses fructose-6-phosphate and glutamine to generate glucosamine-6-phosphate. The record is from Rfam. Lineage: Bacteria; Bacillati; Bacillota; Clostridia; Eubacteriales; Clostridiaceae.
CACAAAUUUUAAGCGCCAGAGCCUAGUUUUGUGCACAAAAGUAUAAAUUUGCACGAAUCAGGCUGACGAGGAAAGAGAUUAUCGAAAUUUCGGCGGAUGUCUCUUCGCACGCUCCAGUGCGUUAUGUAUUGGCAAAUAUGCAGGUGACUGCAAAACAAAUUCAAUACAGUGGAGAUUA